Long non-coding RNA from Micropterus salmoides (largemouth bass), 382 nucleotides. RefSeq lists it as uncharacterized. The transcript is spliced from 4 exons. The record is from RefSeq and is a predicted model, not a curated record. NCBI's taxonomy places the organism in Eukaryota, Metazoa, Chordata, Actinopteri, Centrarchiformes, Centrarchidae.
AUUUGAAUGUGUUUGCUGAUUGCAGGCACUGAAAUCAUGUCUAAGUAUUUGCCGUUCUCUUAUUUCUUCCCCUCUCCCUGUUAGGCUACAAAAGACACUGAGGAAAAUAGUCACUCUGAUGAUGAGGAUGAGACUCCUCAAUACCAGAAGAUAGAGGAUGAUCCAUGCAGGACUCCAAAACGGCCAAAGACAGAUGACAAGGAUGACAUGAUAGAGGAGCUCAAACUAAGAGUAAAAGACAAGGAAAAGGAGAUCAGGCGGUUGAGAAGAUUGAAUCUUCAACUGCAAGAAGGGCUGGCAGAUACUAUCACACAAACUGUCAAAGAUGCUAUACAGGCCACUAAGCCUGUACCCAGCCACCAAGCCCCUCCAAUCAGCAGAG